UAAACAGGGGUUAUUCCCCCUAGGUAGCGGCGAGCGAAGCGGGAAGAGCUCAAAUUUAUAAUCUGGCACCUUCGGUGUCCGAGUUGUAAUCUCUAGAAGUGUUUUCCGCGUUGGACCGCACACAAGUCUGUUGGAAUACAGCGGCAUAGUGGUGAAACCCCCGUAUAUGGUGCGGACGCCCAGCGCUUUGUGAUACACUUUCAAUGAGUCGAGUUGUUUGGGAAUGCAGCUCAAAUUGGGUGGUAAAUUCCAUCUAAAGCUAAAUAUUGGCGAGAGACCGAUAGCGAACAAGUACCGUGAGGGAAAGAUGAAAAGCACUUUGGAAAGAGAGUUAACAGUACGUGAAAUUGUUGGAAGGGAAACGCUUGAAGUCAGACUUGCUUGCCGGAGCUUGCUUCGGUUUGCAGGCCAGCAUCAGUUUUCCGGGGUGGAUAAUGACGGUUUGAAGGUAGCAGUCUCGGCUGUGUUAUAGCUUUCCGUUGGAUACGCCCUGGGGGACUGAGGAACGCAGCGUGCUUUUUGCGAAAGACUCGUCUUUUUCACGCUUAGGAUGCUGGUGGAAUGGCUUUAAACGACCCGUCUUGAAACACGGACCAACA
This 599-nucleotide ribosomal RNA is filed under the name Rhodotorula diobovata. Its description in RNAcentral is "eukaryotic LSU rRNA". It matches the Rfam family "Eukaryotic large subunit ribosomal RNA", at positions 62 to 671 of the family's 3401-position model. The record is from RNAcentral. Lineage: Eukaryota; Fungi; Basidiomycota; Microbotryomycetes; Sporidiobolales; Sporidiobolaceae.